GUCAUGAUGGCCGAGCGGUCUAAGGCGCCAGACUCAAGGUUCAAUUCCUUCUCGUCAUAAAUGGGAGAGUGUUCUGGUCUCCGAAUACAGGCGUGGGUUCGAAUCCCACAUCUGACA
RNAcentral lists this transfer RNA (117 nucleotides) under Nematostella vectensis (starlet sea anemone). It matches the Rfam family "tRNA". From Rfam's summary of the family: Transfer RNA (tRNA) molecules are approximately 80 nucleotides in length. Their secondary structure includes four short double-helical elements and three loops (D, anti-codon, and T loops). The record is from Rfam by way of RNAcentral. Lineage: Eukaryota; Metazoa; Cnidaria; Anthozoa; Actiniaria; Edwardsiidae.